CGGGGGGGUAAGCGUUGUUCGGAAUUACUGGGCGUAAAGGGCUCGUAGGCGGCCAACUAAGUCAGACGUGAAAUCCCUCAGCUUAACUGGGGAACUGCGUCUGAUACUGGAUGGCUUGGAUUCGGGAGAGGGAUGCGGAAUUCCAGGUGUAGCGGUGAAAUGCGUAGAUAUCUGGAGGAACACCGGUGGCGAAGGCGGCAUCCUGGACCGAUAUUGACGCUGAGGAGCGAAAGCCAGGGGAGCAAACGGGAUUAGAUACCCCGGUAGUCCUGGCCCUAAACGAUGAAUGCUUGGUGUAGCGGGUAUCGAUCCCUGCUGUGCCGAAGCUAACGCAUUAAGCAUUCCGCCUGGGGAGUACGGUCGCAAGGCUG
RNAcentral lists this ribosomal RNA (371 nucleotides) under uncultured organism. RNAcentral describes it as "bacterial SSU rRNA". It matches the Rfam family "Bacterial small subunit ribosomal RNA", at positions 527 to 896 of the family's 1533-position model. The record is from RNAcentral.